GUAUAGCUCAAUGGUAGAGCGUCCGGCUGUUAACCGGAGGGUUGCCGGUUCAAGUCCGGCUAUG
Molecule: transfer RNA, 64 nt
Filed under: uncultured Bariatricus sp.
Lineage: Bacteria; Bacillati; Bacillota; Clostridia; Lachnospirales; Lachnospiraceae
Rfam family: tRNA
About the family: Transfer RNA (tRNA) molecules are approximately 80 nucleotides in length. Their secondary structure includes four short double-helical elements and three loops (D, anti-codon, and T loops).
Source: RNAcentral